CUUUGUCGAGUCUAAAUAGUCCUAAAGACUUCACCAUAACACAAGAGUUCAUUAGAAUAUAAAAUAAUUUAUGAUGAAAAAUACUAAAAUAAUUUUUAUUAAUUUAUAAUUCAUAUACUAAUACAAGAAAGAGCACGACCGUCAAUAGGCUGACGAUUGACUUUGGGACACUAUUCCCAACAUCCCUCCCACCAGUCUCACUUACCUGGCCAUAUGUGUCGACUCAGUUCUGAUUUGAGGUGGCUAACAAUUCGAGCUAACCCAUGCCACUAGGUUAGUCAUAAUUGUUAUGACUAUGUCAAGUCAAGUUUAAUGAGACCUAAAUCAAAUCUCCCUAAGAAAAUAUUAAGUCUAAGGUCUUCUACCAUUGUGGAUGUGCAGGCCCUUC
This 388-nucleotide long non-coding RNA is filed under the name Elaeis guineensis (African oil palm). Its description in RNAcentral is "long non-coding RNA (EGUI_LNC079038)". The record is from RNAcentral. Lineage: Eukaryota; Viridiplantae; Streptophyta; Magnoliopsida; Arecales; Arecaceae.